Molecule: ribosomal RNA, 238 nt
Filed under: uncultured bacterium
Lineage: Bacteria
Description: partial 16S ribosomal RNA
Rfam family: Bacterial small subunit ribosomal RNA
Source: RNAcentral
CGGCGGACGGGUGAGUAACGCGUGGGUAACCUGCCUCAUACAGGGGGAUAACAGUUAGAAAUGACUGCUAAUACCGCAUAAGACCACGGAGCCGCAUGGCUCAGUGGGAAAAACUCCGGUGGUAUGAGAUGGACCCGCGUCUGAUUAGGUAGUUGGUGGGGUAACGGCCUACCAAGCCAACGAUCAGUAGCCGACCUGAGAGGGUGGCCGGCCACAUUGGGACUGAGACACGGCCCAA